CAGUCGCCGCGGUAAGACAGAGGAUGCAAGCGUUAUCCGGAAUGAUUGGGCGUAAAGCGUCUGUAGGUGGCUUUUCAAGUCCGCCGUCAAAUCCCAGGGCUCAACCCUGGACAGGCGGUGGAAACUACCAAGCUGGAGUACGGUAGGGGCAGAGGGAAUUUCCGGUGGAGCGGUGAAAUGCGUAGAUAUUGGGAAGAACACCAGUGGCGAAGGCGGCUUUCUGGACGGCAACUGACACUGAGGCUCGAAAGCCAGGGGAGCGAACGGGAUUAGAUACCCGAGUAGUCCCUGUCUCUUAUAC
Molecule: ribosomal RNA, 301 nt
Filed under: uncultured bacterium
Lineage: Bacteria
Description: partial 16S ribosomal RNA
Rfam family: Bacterial small subunit ribosomal RNA
Source: RNAcentral